RNAcentral lists this transfer RNA (72 nucleotides) under Ovis aries (sheep). It matches the Rfam family "tRNA". From Rfam's summary of the family: Transfer RNA (tRNA) molecules are approximately 80 nucleotides in length. The record is from Rfam by way of RNAcentral. Lineage: Eukaryota; Metazoa; Chordata; Mammalia; Artiodactyla; Bovidae.
UCCCUAGUGGCUCAGAUGGUAAAGAAUCUGCCUGCAAUGCAGGAGACCCAGGUUCAAUCCCUGGGUCGAGAG